RNAcentral lists this ribosomal RNA (253 nucleotides) under uncultured bacterium. Its description in RNAcentral is "partial 16S ribosomal RNA". It matches the Rfam family "Bacterial small subunit ribosomal RNA", at positions 524 to 776 of the family's 1533-position model. The record is from RNAcentral.
UACAGAGGGUGCAAGCGUUAAUCGGAAUUACUGGGCGUAAAGCGUGCGUAGUCGGUUAUUUAAGUCGGGCGUGAAAGCCCCGGGCUCAACCUGGGAAUUGCGUUCGAUACUGGAUAGCUAGAGUUCGGGAGAGGUGAGUGGAACUGCGAGUGUAGAGGUGAAAUUCGUAGAUAUUCGCAGGAACACCAGUGGCGAAGGCGGCUUACUGGUCCAUAACUGACGCUGAGGUGCGAAAGCGUGGGGAGCAAACAGG